CCAGGUGGGUGUCAGGAAAGGUCACUGUGCACAUCGGAGACCUUGCUUUCAGCUUCCCUUGUCUGUCACCGGGUGCUUCCAGAUCAUUCACACUCUGUUCCUGUUGACAGGAGAAAAAGGAGAUUUGAAUUUGCAUCGUGCAGUGAGCCUGUUCUGUCACUGGGUGGGCUCUACUGCAGUCCCUCCCCAGGUUUCCGAUUACAGCUUUGGUAGUGGUGCUCUGGGCAUGUGACUUCUCACUGCUGGAACUUGGUGAAUGGGAUGUGCAGAAUAUUAUCUAGGAAUGAAGAAGAGGCAUCGUGUUGGGGAACCAGCUCAAGGAUGGCAUUACCAGACCUGGUCUUAGGUCUAAUGGGUGGAGCUGAAUGAAGCGGUUGGUUCCAUAGGUCAAAAGCAGCCCAGUGUGAACCAUCCCACCUUUUCAUCCUGCUGAAUGUAUGCAGAGUCACGGAGUCUUUCACUGAGAGAGCAUGGCUGGGCUGUCAUUUUAUCAGUGUCGACAGCCUCUCUCAUUCCUUUUCAGUCACCUAUUCAGACUCAGUUACAACAAAUACUUGUUGAAAGUGUUAGGGAACCUCUCUGAGGUCCGCCUCAGUGAGGACCCCAGGGAGUCCAGUGCCUACACCUGCUUGAACUCAUCACUCUCUUUGUUUUCUCAUUUUUUUUUUUAGUUGUAGAUGGACACAAUACCUUUAUUUAUUUAUUUCAUGUUGAGGAUCCAACCCUGUGCCUCACACAUGCCAGGCAAGUGCUCUACCACUGAGCCCCAGCCCCAGCCUGAACUGGUCAUUCUUGGAAUCUCAUCUCUGAAAACCCUCAGAGGAGCGAUGGCACAGACAGCUAACGGAAGCAAAGACCAGCAUGGGAGGGCCUAUGUGCCCUGCAGAGGAGUGUAGGAUACUGUCACACAGUGUCUCCCAAAGUGGAAGAGCCUUGGGGAGUCUCCCACCUGCCCGGAGGCGGCUUGACCUAGGGCAGAGGGAAGUGGGAUGAUAGCUUCCCCAAGGAUGUGCACAAGGAAAGCAUACACAGCGAGCUGCGUCUCUUCAUUAUGCAGAAUGCUUACUGACCUCUCAAAUGGGAGAGCAACUGGCAGUCACCUUCCCUCAGCAGGUCCUGAUGUUUUGCUUAUCACACAGAAGGCCACUGCCAGUCCCCGUAAACCCUGGGGGAAGGGUGCACACCUGCAGGCCCGCUCCUCCUGCUAGUUGUCCCUGGAAAGGCCUUUUCCUUAUUCUCAGAAAUGGAAGGUCUUUCCGCUGGGAAUUCAUGCCGUCCCCCUCCCUCUGCCAGAUAGCUUUCCCAAUCACUUUCUGACACGCUGCACACACUGUUGUGGAAUUCCUGGGAAAUGCAGUGUUGGGGAAGUCCAGGAGUAACCUGAAGCCCUGUCCUGGUGUGUGGUCACAGGGGAUGCUGAGGGACAGGCUGCUGUGUGGGUUGGGCCAUGACUCAGCCCAGCACAGCCUCCCACCCACCAUCCAGCAAUGCUCUGUCCAGGGGGUGGAAGAGAUCGCUGGCCACAGCAAUAAGCAUGAGGUCAAGCUGCAGACCGUGAAGAUCAGGAACAUGUGCGGCCCCCAACGGCUCCAGGGGGACUCCAGCUGAGUCAUCCAAGGUGACACAGGUCAAAAUGAGGACACAACUGCCUGUCUCGCUCAGAAGUGUAUGCGAACAUCAGUGUCUGACACAGAAUCUGAGCUGGCUGUGCUCACUGGCUUUUUAAACACUGCUUCUGCAAAUACAGAGGACCACAGACUUUGGAAAAUGAAUGUCAUUUUUUUCUUGGAAUGGAAGUGGCUCUUACUUCCACUCACCCAGAAAGGCAGAGCUCAGGUGUCUGGAAGACAGGACUGCUGGGCUCGCCACAGCUGCUUGCAUGUCCUCCAACCCAGUGUCACUAAAUGGCCUCCUGAACUGUGUCACUCCACUGGACCUCCCCUGUCCUGCAGCAGGGCUGGCAGUGUGAGCUGGCUCAGGCAAGGGUGGGCAGUCCCACCGUGGCCCCCACAGGCAUGGCACAGCCACCCAGCCGAUGGGGCCUGCCUCCACCCUCCAUGAAGCUGGUGCUGGACACACCACUGUAGACACCUUGAGGCCUGUGCUGAUUGUCCUGAGGGCUGAGAUGCUGGCCUCUGCUGCCCCCGUACCAGGGCCAGAGCUGCACUACUGAAACCGCUUCCCCAGCAUGGGGGGGGGGGGCACCUGACUGACAUGAUCUCCCAGAGCCUUGCAAAGAGCCAGCAGCAUCCGGCAUCCUGCCCCACACGAAGGAACGAAGAAGGCAGAGGCUGUUAAGACAAAAAGUCCUCCUUCUUUUUUGGGGGGUGACCCAAUGCUGGGAUUUUCCCUUGAGGUAGAUGGGCAGAGUCAGCUCACUGACCAGCCCUGGGAGGAGGUGAUGAGCUCCACAGGCUUCUCCCAGGGAAGGUGGCCUGAGCUUUCUGACCUGCACACUGCUCUUCCUGCUUGGCCACGCACAGGAAGCAGGCUAGUCCUGCAAUUCUAUGCUGUGCUUCAUCCUUGAAAUUCACCAUGUUUCUUAUUUAACUUAAGGGGCAAUGUAAGAUUUCAAGCCUGCACAAUAGAGAUGUUUAAAAAAAAAAAAGUUCUCUGAGACCUCAGCAGCAACCCUGCUAAGACCCUUAGCAUCAAAUCUCUCUGGACUAGAGGCUGGGACCCCCCCCCCCAACACACACACACACACACACACACACACACAGGCUGGCUCUGAAUCAGUCCCUCCGGGAGGCUUCUGUGCACAGGACAGAUACCCCAGCUGCUCCUGUGGAGGGUGGAACUGCAGGAAAGUCCCCCAGCAUCACUCCUGGAGUGUGUCACAGCCCUGGGGCCAGACUCACACGGGCUCUGGCUGAGAGGGCUUCCAGGGAUGGGGAUGAGGAGCCAAAGUAUCCUUCUGCAUUGAAAGUAGGAGGUCGUACAAGUUUCAACUAGAUAUGAUUUACAUAGCAUUCUCCCCUGGAGAACAUGACUUUUUUCUGGACCUUAUACAUGCCUGAACAAAAAUAUUUUGAAGUUUCCUCACUAUUCAUAGGAAUUAAAAAUACAAAAUUACUUCCCUAUGUGCACAUUUAAUGUGGAUGUUAGCUUAUUCAAAAUUAAAUAUAAAAUUUCAUUAUGCCAGUUGCUAUGAAGAAGCUUCCUUUCAGUCACAGGGAAUUAAUUCUUUGGUUGUUAAGGGACAUAGGAAGCUCAUGUGAACUUCUGUGGCAUGGGCUGCUGACAUCUUCCACACUGUGCCCGCCUCUGCCACCCUAGGCUCCUGGGGAAUACCACCUUGUCACGCCCACCGCAUGCCUUCCCCAACACCAGAAUUUACCUAGUUAAGAGCCAGCAAAUUGAAAGGUUAAUUAAGAAAGAAAAUACAAGAAGUGAAGAAAACCUAGUCUCAGAGGCUCACCAGGGACUCGGGAUCUCAGUACAGAAUGUGCUCAUCUGCCUGCAGCUGUUCAUGCAAUUAUUGUUCUUCAAGGUCAUGGCCUCCUUAGGCCAAAUUAAAUGGGGGCAGAGUCUCUGGCACACAUGACCACGGUGGGAGGGGGCCUGCCCACAGUGCUGAGGGAGACCCAAGUGAGUCCUCAUUCCCGCCCAGUUCCCACCUGCUCAGGCCGCAGCACAGUUUGGGAGGACCUUGAAACGUGCACUGGCUGCACAUUCCAGAGCUGCCAGGGAGCACUCCCCACGGAGCCCGUUUUCACUGAGGAGUGCACACCACUUGCUCUAAAAGUAAGACAGCCUGCUGACUCUGAGGACCUGAGACCUGACCCACUGCCCUGAGGGUCUGGGGGACAUCCAAUAGCCCAGCCGUGAGGAUCCACCCAGGAAAGAAAACCCAGCCCCACCCUGGGCAGGUUUCUCUGUGCAGCACAGAAACGGCACCACCACAGGUCAGCAGUAAGUCCCUUACAUCAGGUGGCAGGGGUUGGGUCUCUUCCACCAGAGUGGACUGACAUCCUGUAAGUUGUUUUUAUGAAGGACACUUUAAGACUGCAUGGACAGUGAUAUUCCUGACCGUGCAUGGGCACUAACAAGUAACUGAUGCUCCCCCGGCCUGGCACAGGUCUCCUGAGUCACACAGAGUCACGUCCUAACCCUCCCAACACGCUACCCAGCAGCGGCUUGCCAGCCCCCAUGCAGAGGGGAAUGACUCAGGUGAUGCCUGCUGCAUCAGUGCCUGAGUCCUGUGGCAUGCCUCCAGCGUGUCUCCGUAGGGUUUCUGGGGUGACGGGGUCAAGUCUGGUGGGACUUCACUGGGGGGAGUACAUUACUGAGAAUUCCCUGAAGAAAAGCUUCAGUGUAGACGGUGCUCUUAAAGCCCCCCUGCUCAGGCUGGAAGGUGAGGUACAGGGCACCUGCUCCUCUCACUUGCCAGUCUCACCUGCUGCAGGCGCUCAGGGUGGGGACCACAUGGUGGCAGGCUGUGCAUGGGGUGUUGGUGUUUGCAGUGAGAGCCUUCUGCCUGGUGACUCUCCCGCAGCCAGGAGAAUGUGGUUCUCUGAGCCCACGCUCCUCACUGCCUGCAUUAGUCACUGCAGCCUACCAGUGCUGGCGGGGUGGUCCUUGGCAUGAGAGAGGGAGAUCACACCAGGAGGGCUGCAGUAAGGCUCUGAGAGGCAUCGAGGAGGGGAGGGGAGAGUGAAGAGCAGGGAGAGAAAACCCAGCUCAGAGGGCAGCCAGACAGGCAUGAAGAGGGUUCUUAGGCACCGCAUGCGUAGAGACGGCUUCUGACAUACAUCUCACCAAAAGUGGUUCCAAGGUGGGAGUCUCUGGUUGCAGGGUCAAGGCAGGCGCCAUCAUCUACGUCACUAUGCUGAGUUUUGGUGUCUUCUAAAGCAAAUACACACUGCUGUCAUGCUCAUAAAUGUAUGUUUUAGGGCACAGACUGUCUUUAAAAAGAGGGAUGCUGGCCAACGAGACUGCUAUGUUGUGGGCACGUAUGGACACGUAACAACAGAUCCCAUCGUGCCUACAACCACACUGCACCAAUGAAAGAUGGGGGAGUUAAAGUGCAUGACGGAUUGAAAACCUGGCGAUAGGAAGGAGGACUGGGACAGGGGCUUUCUCUUGCUUCUGUUCUCUAGCACGAACCUGUGAGAGUCCUAGGUCCUGCUCCUGAGGCACACGCCAUCGCCAGCCUGAGAACCGUCAUGGCUCCCACCUUUGGCUGACAAAGUGUGUCCCUCCCCGGGUGAGUCCUACCUUCAUCUCACCUGUCCUGUGUGCACCUGUGGAAGGCACUGGCGACAGGUCAGCUGACACUCCUUUUCAACUGGGCAGUCGCUGUUCUCUCUAGGGCAGGUGUCACUUCCCCUGCAGGUGCUGAGGUGGGGACUUCCCCAGGUCCUCCUUCAGUGCAAGCUGAGGGCUCACCUGGUGUGGAGAACAGACCAAGAACUCAGGUGUCUGGGAAAACACGCUGCUCACAGCAUCUCUGAGAACAAAGGCAUUAAAGUGAGACGCUCCUCAACUCAAGCACCCGCCGUGAGUGUCCCUCCUCUGGAACAUCUGGCCUCCUCGAGUGUGAUGAGGACUGAGUAAGCCAACAGCCACAGACCUCCAGAAGUCUCUGUGUGUCUAGUGUCCCCUGGGCAUCGCGUAGCCAGGUUCCAAGGUCCCUCAGCCUACAGCUGAGACCUGAGGCAAUUACCACGACCAGUGGUUACCUGACUCCAAUGCGGAAACGGAAGCUCCCAGUUCUGCUCCCUUAGGGAAAAGCCCCAUCCUAGUAAAUAUCCCCAGGGGCCCAGCCAGUCCCAGUAGCCUGUGCACAGACACAGUGGUGGACAUGCACUCCGGGCCAGAGCCAGUGGGGAGGGCAUGGGCCUGGGGCCAGACUCCCAGGAAAGCCCGUCACCAGCAGAAGAGAAGAAACUCAACAGAGCACAGCAUCUGAGAGAGGAGCCGGAAUGGGUCCUGCCCAAAGGCAGCUCCACGCCGCUUCUGGGUCUGAGCUGGUGGCUCCAUUGCUGGCUGCAGUGAGCGUGAGAGGAUCCCCAUCCCUGGAAACCUGAGUGAUUCUGAGCUCAAAACCCUCCUCAGGCUGGGGCCUGGCACUUGCCACAGUGGCAGGACGCUUGCUGAGCAUGUGUGAGGUAAGGCUCCAUCCUUAGCACCACAUAAAAAUAAACAAAGGCAUUCUGUCCAUCUACAACUACCAAAAAACAAAAAUUAAAUCCCUCCCUUGCCCAGUGUUUAGGAUUGAACGGGGUGUUCAUAAGGAGCCCCAUACAGAGUGGCUUCUGCCCCGUGAACCUUCACAAGCACAAAGAAGCGUCCCCACCAAGAACCACAAAUCCCCAAAUCACAAAGGCUCCCUCUGGCAGGGUGAGAGCCCGCACUGGACUCUGCCGGCACUCACAGCAGUGGCCCACCCAGCCCCACAACCACACACACAGCACAGGAGGAAGAGUCACUGCCGAUUCAACAGAUGAGAAAAUGCUCAAGGAUCACUAUUAAGUACCUGUCCCUAAAAGACCCAAGCACGAUUAGCAAGGGAACAGGAACAGAGCUUAUACUGGCCCCUUGUUCCUCCUCUGGCAUGUGCAGCGGGUGGCUUCAGAGACAUCUGAGACUGCUGGCCCAGGUGAGCUAGCAGGGCUCCCUCCUGCAGGCCAGAAGUUAAGAAGCGUGGUCUCAGCCUUGGGGACGGGAGCUCUGACCUGGGUUCACCGGGGGAUGGUGGUCUAGGGCAUAGCUAUUUGCAGGAAUUUGAAGCAUCCUAGAGAUGUUAAAUUUACUCCCGUCUAGUUGGACACCCAGUCAUGGAAGUUGCUGGAAAGACUUGGCCAUCUGCCACUUCCAUCCAUCAGGGAUGUUUUGAGCUGGAGAGUUCUGAGAUUGAGUGCUGGGCUUCCCACCUGGAAAGACAACCUUUACAGUGGGCGGCGGGACCCACCCACAGGACCCACCCUUGCAGGCAGGGGAGUGGGCACCCAGACUCCACCUACAGCAAGACUUAAGAGAACAACUCUGCCAACCUGCUUCUGCUACGGCAUGGCUGAAUCCCUUGAGUCAGACUGAAGUACUGAAAGAAAGACGGACGGGAAUAAAUCUACAUGUUCAUUCAAGAGUCUCCACAUCAGAUGAAUGCAAAUCGUGCUCUGGGUUUCUGCAAGUGAGAUCAGGACGCAAACCAAGAGUAUUGUGAAACUGGAAGCACUUGCUGUUCCUGGAGGCCCAGAUUACAGAAUUAUCUAUUCAGCUGGACGUGCAGUGUGAGUAUUAAGAUCACCCCCAGAAUCACCGAGACCCUGGAGAAAGGUGUACCAUUGUAAACCUAUCAGGUUUCUGAGAUCCAGUUCCGAGCAAUGUCUUGGUCAGCUUGACUUCAGCGUGCUGCAGAUCCCCUGCCAUCAGGCUCAGGAUCCUGGAGCUAGUCCAAUCGUCUACUCAGAUACCCACCCACUCCUCAACCCUGGAAAAUGACCAGUACUCACUGCAGAGAGGUGGGGAGCACCUGCAGUUUGCAGACAGGGCUGGGUGCCUGUGCAAUGGCGAGGAGUCCCAGCCCCAUGGAGCUCAGCCGAAUUCUAAUGGAUUUCAAACCAUGUGAGGGCCUUGGCAGGACACAAGCAAGGGCUUGUGUCCCUGGCUCCUGCUCAGGGCCAGUGAGUCUCCUCUGGGAUGUGAAACACACGGAAAACUGAGAGAAGAGCAAGGCAGACAGUGUGGAAAGAAGCCUGGGUCCACGCUGAGUCUGGCUGGGGGGACUGGGGGCUGGCUGGAGUCGUGGGGAGCAGGACUCUGUCAUCUAAACAUGGGAAGUCAGCCAUGGCUUGGAGACAUGAAUCUAGGACAGUGGGGCUGGGAUCCGAGGGCUCAGCCAGGUUUUACCAAGAUUCCUCCGAGUCCUUUUGUACAAACACAGAGGACUGCUUGACUACUGAGUACACAUCACCGCUAAACUGACUGUGAAAAUGGUAAAACUGGAUCUCCCUGUGUCCAUCCAAGUCCAUCUCAAAAACAUGAAUCUUAAUUUCUGAAGGUUUAUUUGCAGAAAGUUACCAUAUAAUGCCAUUUACAUGCAUUCUAAACACAGAAAAUACCAGUGUCUUUUAAGGACGUGAAAACCAGGAAGGAAGGAGAGGCAGGAGUCUGGGGUAGGAUACGAAGAGGAAGGGGGCAGGAAGGGUGCUUCCUGCAUCCUGGGGUUUCUAAGAGUAAGAGUCACCUCUCAUGACAAAUGACAGCCAACUGACAGCUGUCUGGGGUCUGCCACACCUGAACAGUAAGCACUAGUUCUUUUUGACAAUUGUGCUGCCCGUUUGUGAGAAUACUGAAUGAGGGACUCUCAAAUCCUAACCAAACAGAUCAAAGAGGCGGGAGAGGGCAUCUUACCCCUGAUCAGGACCCGUGACGUUCUAGUUGAACCCAACCCAACGGUGGGUGUGAUCUUGCACGUCUCUCCUCUUAGAACCUCAGCAGCUGCGAGUUCUGACUUUCAGGGGCUGGAAGACUGAUUCCAUGUGGGUGAAGCUAGAGCUGCACUUGCCGUCUGGAUGCUGGGGCCUGGGGCCUGGCAGAGGAGAAACGGGAGGCGCCUGGCCCAGGCCUGGUGGUCUGCCCUCCCCGGGGAGGAGGGAGGAGGCUGAAGACUGAGGGUGAUCUGUCACUGUGGAUACUUCUGCCACUACUUCUGAACCAGAAUCAAGACCUGUGAACUAGAAGUUUCCUGCCCCGUGUUCCUGCUGGGCGGGCUCCAGGGUGGAAGCACAUUUGUCUCCAGCCAUGCCCGAGACUGAAUCGGAGCAAGCUGGGCCACCAUUUCCUGUUUUUGCAAACUCUUUUUAACAUCUGUGACAUCUGGAUAAAUAUGGUUUAUAGGUGAAAGUUGCCAACGGCGAUUUUGAUUUCACGUUUCCCCCUUAAAAUGAAAGUUUGGAGUCAAUAGCUUCAAUAUACACAGGGUGAGAGAACAGUUCAGGCUCAGACGCUCUUUUGCAAAACAAGGGUCCAACUUUGGCAAAAUGUCAUUUAAGACAUCAAUGGCAAACAGCAAGGGUGGAGCCGCAGCCUCAGGUGUGAACUGCAGGGCCUGGAGAGAUGUCACGGGCCGCGUCUCCCUCCUGAGGUCCCUCCAGGGCUGAAACUUCAUCCCUGUGCCUGGGACAUCUGUGAGACACCAAGACCAGGAGAGGGGCUCUGCCUCUGCACAGCUGGGUCUCCAGUCCUGACCAGCUCCCGAGGGCCCAUGCUGGGGGCAGGGCUGGAAGUGGCUCCAGCCUUGGGACCACCCCCACCAGAAGAGCAUUCCUGAUGCUCUGCACCUUCUCCCUGGGGGUCCCGGACUGGCCCUAGCUAGGAGACUUUCCUACAAAGGGACUUCCACAGACCUGUGAAUGUCCUGAGAGUACGAGGCCUGCCCAGAGGACGAGAGCACCACACUUUGUCAAAGCACAGCAGAGGGGUGGCAAGAUGGCAGGAAGGCAGGCCAAGCCUCAAGAAUACAGGUCCCAGUGCAGCUCUGCUUUGAAUGGGGCACAGCAAAGAACCCCAGCAAGGCAUGGCCUCCGGUCCCUGCUGCCUUAGCACCGCAGCCUGCCUGUGCAGGGCCCCCAUGCCCAGCCCACCCAGGGGGGCCUGCCCAGGCACCCGCAGGGAAGCUGCACUGCUAAGGAGCUGACCCUUUGCUCCCCGCACCACCCAGAGCUGCGUGCAGGCUUUGCAGCCUCUCUCUAGUCUGCUCUGAUAUUACAGCCACCCCCUCUGUGGCUUCCACUGCACGGAGACCCCUCCUGUCCCUUCACCUCAGCCUGUCUUCAAAGGCUCACUGUGUCUCCCCGAGGCAGCAUAUAUAGCUAUUCCACACCCCCACAGGGAAUUGAACCCAGGGUUGUUUUACCACUGAGCCACAUCCCCAGCCCUUUUGGAGAUAAACUCUAAGUUACCCAGGCUGGCCUCUAACUUGCAAUCCUCCUGCCUCAGACUCCUGAGUCUACAGGUGUCAGUCACCAUCUCUCCAGGUCUUUCAAUUGGAGAACUGAACCCAUCUGAUCUCAGUGUGUUCACAGACAUUUAAAUCAGUGGACUCUGAGUAAAACAGGUGGCCUCCCUGAGUGUGGGCCUCCUCCAGUCAACUGAAGGCCUCGGACAAGAAGGAGAGACCUCUGCGUCCUCUGCUCUUCCCGGAUUGUUAGCUUUCUGAUGCUGUGACUCAGCACCCAAGGUGGGCAGGGUCUUUGCCACGCCAUCUCAUCCCGAGACCUCAACUCAUGGCCCUCUGUCAAACACGCUCAUGGAACGUACCCCUUCCUUCGGAGCACUGAUGUGUCUAUUAUACGUGAACUGACAGGACUGCACCUUCUGUCCUCUGCUGUAUCAAGAGUAAGCUGCAAGGGGUUGGGCCGAGGCUGUGCCGGGCCCUCAGCAGGCACCACAGUCAUGAAGGCAGGAGACACGAUGGCACAGGACUGCAGGGAUGCGGGCUUCCCUUCACGAGGCCCUGUUCAACUGUCUUGUCUAGCUGAGAAGGGUUGGUGGGUAGGCUCCUGGAAGUUGUGGAUUUUUUUUAAAGUUAUUCAUUGUUAAAUAUUUUUACAAAUAUAUUCUGAGUUCCAACACUAUAAUCCAACAUAACCACAAUAAUUUCAAGAGAAAAGACAAAAUGGAGGCCACUUUUGAGAGAAGAACCCCUGAACUCCAGGGGAGGGCCAGCGUGGCCCUGCUGGUUUGGGUUGGGUAACUAGCUGCUCAGAGGGCAGCUCUGAAGCCCACUCUGCAGUAGACCUCCUUGACCAGGGCUCUAGGAGCAAGGCGGCUCAGAGGCAAACAGCUGCCUAAGCAAUUCCAGAGCUGCAGCAAGCUAUUAAGGAGCGAUUGAUGCUCUUGGUACUUAGGAACAACUGAAAUAGGAUCCCAGAUGGAGGCACUUACAACUUGUGUGCCUCUUGGAUCCAGUUCAGGGAAAGACCCAGAAAGCAUGCGUACAGAGACAGAAAGCUUCUACCUGCCAUUGCUGCUGUGUGACGUCUGCUGGAACAUGAGGAGAUCCCGUCAAACUCGCACUGUCUGGGGAAAUGUGCAGAGUCCAUGUGACAAUCCCCAAAACACACUUCCAGAGCCCUCCAGCCUUCCAUGGAAAAGUGCCCCAGGAGCCACGUCGGGGCCUGGACACAAGAACACCAAAGGACGCACACACACCCUGCUGCCUGGGAAGGCGUAGGUCCAGCAAUCCACUAUCCGUAACAUUUAGGAGCUUUCUCUCCUCCCGCUGAGCCCACGGUUGCCUUAAACGCUGAAAGCAAAACACUUUGACUAUUUUCUUUCUGUGCUUUCUGAUGAUAUGAUCACACAUGUCCAUGCAACGGCAUG
Long non-coding RNA from Marmota monax (woodchuck), 11331 nucleotides. RefSeq lists it as uncharacterized. Lineage: Eukaryota; Metazoa; Chordata; Mammalia; Rodentia; Sciuridae. The transcript is spliced from 3 exons. The record is from RefSeq and is a predicted model, not a curated record.